UACGAAGGGGGCUAGCGUUGCUCGGAAUUACGUGGGCGUAAAGGGCGCGUAGGCGGACAGUUUAGUCAGAGGUGAAAGCCCCAGGGCUCAACCUUGGAACUGCCUUUGAUACUGACUGUCUUGAGUUCGGGAGAGGUGAGUGGAAUGCCGAGUGUAGAGGUGAAAUUCGUAGAUAUUCGGCGGAACACCAGUGGCGAAGGCGACUCACUGGCCCGAUACUGACGCUGAGGCGCGAAAGCGUGGGGAGCAAACAGG
This 255-nucleotide ribosomal RNA is filed under the name uncultured bacterium. RNAcentral describes it as "partial 16S ribosomal RNA". It matches the Rfam family "Bacterial small subunit ribosomal RNA", at positions 524 to 776 of the family's 1533-position model. The record is from RNAcentral.